Molecule: ribosomal RNA, 543 nt
Filed under: uncultured archaeon
Lineage: Archaea
Description: bacterial SSU rRNA
Rfam family: Archaeal small subunit ribosomal RNA
Source: RNAcentral
GGCAGCCGCCGCGGUAACACCGGCGGCCCGAGUGGUGAUCGUGAUUAUUGGGUCUAAAGGGUCCGUAGCCGGUUUGGUCAGUCCUCCGGGAAAUCUGAUAGCUCAACUAUUAGGCGUUUCGGGGGAUACUGCCAGACUUGGAACCGGGAGAGGUAAGAGGUACUACAGGGGUAGGAGUGAAAUCUUGUAAUCCCUGUGGGACCACCUGUGGCGAAGGCGUCUUACAGAACGGGUUCGACGGUGAGGACGAAAGCUGGGGGCACGAACCGGAUUAGAUACCCGGGUAGUCCCAGCCGUAAAACGAUGCUCGCUAGGUGUCAGGCAUGGCGCGACCGUGUCUGGUGCCGCAGGGAAGCCGUGAAGCGAGCCACCUGGGAAGUACGGCCGCAAGGCUGAAACUUAAAGGAAUUGGGCGGGGGAGCACAACAACGGGUGGAGCCCUGCGGUUUAAUUGGACUCAACGCCGGACAACUCACCGGGGGCGACAGCAAUAUGUAGGCCAAGCUGAAGACUUUGCCUGAAUCGCUGAGAAGAGGUGCAUGG